UACGUAGGGAGCAAGCGUUGUCCGGAUUCACUGGGUGUAAAGGGUGCGCAGGCGGGAGAGUAAGUCAGAGGGGAAAUCUCACAGCUUAACUGUGAAACUGCCUUUGAUACUGCUUUUCUUGAGUUCGGGAGAGGUUGAUGGAAUUCCAGGUGUAGCGGUGAAAUGCGUAGAUAUCUGGAAGAACACCAGUGGCGAAGGCGGUCAACUGGCCCGUAACUGACGCUCAGGCACGAAAGCGUGGGUAGCGAACAGG
RNAcentral lists this ribosomal RNA (253 nucleotides) under uncultured bacterium. RNAcentral's name for it is "partial 16S ribosomal RNA". It matches the Rfam family "Bacterial small subunit ribosomal RNA", at positions 524 to 776 of the family's 1533-position model. The record is from RNAcentral.